AAAAGAAAAAAAAUCCAACUGGAAAUGGACCCCAGAGCUCUGAGCACCAGUUCCUCCUACAAUCUUUCUAGAGACUAUAUACAUAGGUAGAGAUCUUGUGUGUGCAUUAUACACUCAUGAUAAUUAUACAAAACCUGAAGCUCAGAGAAUUGAAACAAGUUCCUGGACUUGCAGAGCACACGCAUACAUGACAGACACCAGGGGCAAAGCCUCUGCACCCCCUUCCAGCGACCUCCACACCUUUUCCACAGGGAACCGUGGAGCUGACUAGAGGUUGCUCUGGUAGACAAUGUGAGGGGCCUGCCCGCUGCUCUGUCUGCGCCUGCCCCCCCAUAUGUACACACACACACCACACACACACACACACACACACACACACACAAGAUUCAGCCUCGAGGUCCAUGGCUGUCCAGAGCCACAGAUAAACCUCCCGGUCUCCCUCUCAGCCUGCCCCUAACCUGUUGUGCUCAGGCUGCUAGAAGCUUGGGACAAUGGUAAGGUCCCUGCGCCCCCUUGGGGUGUGACCUGGGGAGAGAGGAAACAAAGUAUAUGGUAAGGCUCUCGUCACAAGGCAGCAUCCCACAGUGUUCCCUGUGCACAUGACUCCCACAGCCCCCCACACAGGGUGGGGCAAGAGGGUUCCAGGUGCUUCAUUUAGAUCAUGCCACUUCUUCCCCAUCAUCUACCCCCCAGGCGAGCCUGCGUCACAAGCAGGAGGCGCAGUCACUCCCAGCUGAGAAAGUCCCCCAUCUCUCUCUGACACCACCCUGUCCAGCUCUUGCCCCUGCAGAGCUGUGUCUGAACAACUGCUCUGUCUGCUCCUGCUGUUGGACUUCCUAGAAGGAACACACCCGUCUUUUUGGUUUUUCGAGAUAGGGUUUCUCUGUGUAAUUUUGGUGCCUGUCCUGGAUCUCUGGAUCUCUCUCUGUAGAUCAGGCUGGCCUCGAACUCACAGAGAUCCGCCUGGCUCUGCCUCCCGAGUGCUGGGAUUAAAGGCGUGCACCAUCACCGCCCGGUCACAUCUGUCUUUGUAAGAGAGUCUGGCAAGCCUGAAUUUCAUAAUAAGUUUGAGUCCAGCCUGGGCUACAUGUCAUGAAAUCCUGUCUCGAAAAAAAUAGGUUGACAUUUCAGCACUCAGGAGGGAGAGGCAGGAGGACCAGGAGUUCAGAGCCUCCUCUCUGCCGAAAUAAAAGGGCUGGUGAACCCCAAAGCAGUCUCACCCUGCCUUCGGCCCUAGAAGCUCUAAUCGAUUUGACUGUGUCUCUCCUCCACUUAAAAUCCUUUACGAACCUGGUUUGGAUUCCUGGUAAAACGUGAAGCAUCUGCCCCUGCCCAAGCUGCACUCCCAACCCCAUUCCCAGCAGCUCCCGCCACACUGCAUUGCACUGGGAUUCAGCACGUCUUGGCAUCCGAGCCUGUGUGCAUGCUGGACCUGGCAGCAUGUGGCCGUCUGGGUGGUCCUCCUCCUUCACGUGGCCAGCUAACUUGCAAAGGGUCCUUCCUUCCUCCCCAGCCCUAGAGUUGAGGGUUCUUCUCUGGCCACCACAGCCCUUUGUACAAGCAGAAAUAAAGGGACAGAAUAAAGGAUGUCCGGGUGUGCCUGAUAACUACUCAGACCCAUGUGUGGCUGUGGUACUGCAGUCUGGCCCUUCUUAUCUCUGUGGGUGGGAGCCCGGUGUAUUUCUACCCGGACCAUGCAGUAUCCCACCCUCAUGGUAAUGGAAGUGUAUGUGUGGGAGCCUGUACCCACCACAUAAGACCACACUUUGGGGCCUGGGAGAUGGUUUGGUGGGUAGAGGCACUUGCUCUUAAGCCUAAUGACCUGAGUUUGAUCCCUGGAACCUUCAGGGUGCAAGGAGAGAAUCGACUCCCAGGAGUUGUCUUCUGACCUCUACUCGGGUUGGGUGGCAUGGAAAUUGUCCCUUUAUGACUGUGCUCUCUGUUUGUGACAUACUGUCCCCAGAACCAGCUCCUCUGGCCUGCUUCACCCAGACGCCUACAGGCUUGUGCCCGGACACCUGACCCCCACACCCAGCCCACCGUCCAACUCUGGGUACCAGAACCAGACGCGGAUCACUUCCUUCUCCAUGUGCAGCUGCUCUGCGAUCAGCAGGAUCUCCUCUGAGGCGAAGCGGACAUUCGUCUCGAUGCUGGUUCUCUUCUUGCGUCUCCGCCCCGGCAGCCCGUCGAAACCCAGGCUAGGGCUGCUCAGCUGGUUGGGGCUGGGUAGGCUUGAGUCCACAGACAUAGUUUCUGCGAAGACAGGAGACAGGGAUGUGGUCCCAGACCUGCGUGAAGCCCAGCUUGAUGCGGCGUUGCUUGAAGGUGCGAGCGAAUUGUUCCAGUUCCUCCAGGUCACUAGGUUCCUCCGGGUGGGAUGGCGGUUCCAAGCAUUUUGGGGGCUGCGGGUGUGAGAG
Molecule: non-coding RNA, 2417 nt
Organism: Peromyscus maniculatus bairdii (prairie deer mouse)
Lineage: Eukaryota; Metazoa; Chordata; Mammalia; Rodentia; Cricetidae
Source: RefSeq, a predicted model, not a curated record